UACGUAGGGACCGAGCGUUGUCCGGAAUCAUUGGGCGUAAAGAGCGUGUAGGCGGCCAACUAAGUCCUGCGUGAAAUCUCGGGGCUCAACCCCGAGCGGUCGUGGGAAACUGGUUGGCUAGAGUGCGGGAGAGGAGAGUGGAAUUCCUGGUGUAGCGGUGAAAUGCGUAGAUAUCAGGAGGAACACCGGUGGCGAAGGCGCACAUCUGGCCCGAUACUGACGCUGAAGCGCGAAAGCUAGGGGAGCAAACGGG
This 253-nucleotide ribosomal RNA is filed under the name uncultured bacterium. RNAcentral describes it as "partial 16S ribosomal RNA". It matches the Rfam family "Bacterial small subunit ribosomal RNA", at positions 524 to 776 of the family's 1533-position model. The record is from RNAcentral.